Molecule: unclassified non-coding RNA, 223 nt
Filed under: Hevea brasiliensis (rubber tree)
Lineage: Eukaryota; Viridiplantae; Streptophyta; Magnoliopsida; Malpighiales; Euphorbiaceae
Source: RNAcentral
UCUGACCUGAAAAUGAUUUUGAUAUGACAAGUAUUUCAAAGGGGGAAAAAAGCAGAGUAGAAAAUUCACCACUAUAUAAGCUAACAUUCAACAAGCCAAAACAGUAGAAUAAGUUGUGACCUUGUUUCAAAAGCAAAACAUGGCACAAAAUAAGUAAAGGUUUAUGCAAUUAAAUACAUCUGCAUAAAUGUCAUAUCUUUUGCAAUUAAAAAAAAAAAAAAAG